Long non-coding RNA from Entelurus aequoreus (snake pipefish), 922 nucleotides. RefSeq lists it as uncharacterized. NCBI's taxonomy places the organism in Eukaryota, Metazoa, Chordata, Actinopteri, Syngnathiformes, Syngnathidae. The record is from RefSeq and is a predicted model, not a curated record. The transcript has 4 exons.
AGUUUGUAUACAUGUUUAACUUUCUCCGACUUCCUAGGACAUGUUUUAUGCCACUUCUUUUUCUGUCUCAUUUUGUCCCGCCACACUUUUAACGUUGUGCGUGAGUGCACAAAGUUUCGGGAAUUCACCAAAACGUCACCGGGUCCGAGUCUGUUUAGCUGAUUGGAGGGCUAGCGUAUCCAUGACGACGACGACUUCUGUUUUGUUUGAUCGGCUGUUUUACUGCCGUGCUACAGACGGCAGUGGGAAACAAUUAAGGUGAAUGAGUCGCUGGAGAAAAGAAAAAAAAUCACAACCUUUAUCUUGCCUGGCGGCCAUGAUUUAUGCUGCGCUCGUCGGCGGGACGCGAGGGGAAUGGCGAGAGGGAAGACCUCAGGUCAGCAGCUGCGUUUCCUUGAGUCGACUCGAGGACAAAAAUGUCAAAUAAUUGGAACACCUUCCACGCGUCUGCUGAGCGUCCAUGAAGUAGUCACAUGUGGUGGCCUGGCAGAACCAGACUUGUCACGCACCUUGCCUGCCCGCAGAGACUCCUGUGAUGUACUCCACCAAUUAGAGCUGGCUGCUACUUUUAUAGGCACCCACGUACAAUCCAAAAAGUGCCUGACUUCCAUACCUUCCUUGCACGCCACGUCACGGCGGUUGCAGACGGAGCACGGACCCUAACCGUAAACAAUCAGUCAAGCAGCACUGAGAGCAAACUCCCUCCAAGUAAUGUUGACAUUUUCAACACCAACAAAGAAAGUAUGCUCCAACGCAAGUCAAGCACUUUACCAAAAUGCGCUAGCUUGAUGCUAAUUUGCAUUGGAUUCUCCAUAGGCAGGCUACUAUCAGCAUUAGCAAUUUUACAUGGCGUUUUAAAACUCCAAAUUUGGCAAUGAAACCAACAACUAAGAUGAAAGUUACAAUCAAACAGCUGGUGUGU